RNAcentral lists this unclassified non-coding RNA (1042 nucleotides) under Hevea brasiliensis (rubber tree). The record is from RNAcentral. Lineage: Eukaryota; Viridiplantae; Streptophyta; Magnoliopsida; Malpighiales; Euphorbiaceae.
GUCAAGAAAUUUGCUCGUUGAGAUCCCUUACUGGAAAAGGUGAUGUUAAUUUUGGUGCUUGGGGAAAACCUGAAUUUGGUUGCAAUGUUUUCGGCACAUAUCAGAGGCCGAGAGCCAAUUUCUAUCCUCUCGCUUCUGAAGGGGCGAGGAAUGUGUUUUUACCUUACAAUGCGAUGUAUAGAGCUGGACAAGAUCCCGUGGUUCCCUCCUACAGUACUAAUUUCCAAAGAGAAAAUCCUACCUUGAACCAGAAUUCAAUCCAAAAUGUGGUUAGGAGGGAAGAAGUUGGAAUGCCAAAGUUUGUAAAUGAGCAGAGGCCACCGGAGAUGUCUAAAGUGUCCAUUCCAGAGAACCAUUUCAAGAAUGAAAAUGACGACUCCUUCAAUGCACAGGCUCCAUGUAAACUGUUUGGCUUUUCCUUGACGAAAGAACCAUCUACUCCUAGCUCGCAGAGUUCUGGUAAGAGGAGCUGUACUAAGGUUCACAAACAAGGCAGCUUGGUUGGACGAGCCAUUGAUCUCUCGAGAUUGAAUGGCUAUGACGACUUGCUGGUUGAGUUGGAGAGGCUUUUCAACAUGGAAGACCUCUUAAGAGAUCCCAACAAGGGGUGGCGAAUCUUGUACACUGACAGUGAGAAUGACAUGAUGGUUGUCGGAGAUGAUCCAUGGCAUGAGUUCUGUGAGGUAGUAUCCAAGAUCCAUAUAUACACUCAAGAAGAAGUGGAGAAAAUGACUAUUGAGGGGAUCAGCGAUGACACUCAAAGUUGUUUGGAGGAGGCACCAGCAAUCAUGGAUGUCUCAAAGUCUUCUUCAGUUGGCCAGCCUGAUUCAUCUCCAACUGUAAUCAGGAUUUGAAUAAAGUUUGAAUGGAGUACCUAUGAAUGUUCAUGCUUUUUUUAUGCUAUGUUAAGUGAUAUAUGUGAUGAUAAUAGUACUCUACCUACUACAUGUUCUUGUUAUGUUUAAUAAAUUAUUGUCACUUAACAUGUUAUGUUAAAUGUUGGAAGUCUGUAAUCAACUACAAUGGGAGCUUGUAUGAUGAA